GUGUCGUGAGAUGUUGGGUUAAGUCCCGCAACGAGCGCAACCCUUUUCCUUACUUGCCAGCAUUUCGGAUGGGAACUUUAAGGAUACUGCCAGUGACAAACUGGAGGAAGGCGGGGACGACGUCAAGUCAUCAUGGCCCUUACGGCCAGGGCUACACACGUGCUACAAUGGUCGGUACAAAGGGUUGCUACACAGCGAUGUGAUGCUAAUCUCAAAAAGCCGAUCGUAGUCCGGAUUGGAGUCUGCAACUCGACUCCAUGAAGUCGGAAUCGCUAGUAAUCGCGGAUCAGAAUGCCGCGGUGAAUACGUUCCCGGGCCUUGUACACACCGCCCGUCACACCAUGGGAGUUUGUUGCACCAGAAGUAGCUAGCCUAACUGCAAAGAGGGCGGUUACCACGGUGUGGCCGAUGACUGGGGUG
RNAcentral lists this ribosomal RNA (420 nucleotides) under Acinetobacter baumannii OIFC032. Its description in RNAcentral is "bacterial SSU rRNA". It matches the Rfam family "Bacterial small subunit ribosomal RNA", at positions 1062 to 1482 of the family's 1533-position model. The record is from RNAcentral. Lineage: Bacteria; Pseudomonadati; Pseudomonadota; Gammaproteobacteria; Moraxellales; Moraxellaceae.